Long non-coding RNA from Amphibalanus amphitrite, 4130 nucleotides. RefSeq lists it as uncharacterized. The transcript has 4 exons. The record is from RefSeq and is a predicted model, not a curated record. NCBI's taxonomy places the organism in Eukaryota, Metazoa, Arthropoda, Thecostraca, Balanomorpha, Balanidae.
GGUGGUAUGAUAGUCAAUGUAAGUAUGUUUGACUUCCUGCAUAUAAAAUUCAAAUACUAACAUCACAAUUCACAUAGGAAAGGAGCAUAUUUUCACCAUAACUUUUAAAAAUUUGUGUCAAUUUGGAAUACAAUUAAAGUGAACAAUUGUGAAAUUUGAAUGAAAAUAACCAACAUUCCUGACCUAACCUUACCUACUUUCCUAAAAAGUUUGUAAUACCCUUAAUACCAACCUAAAACCCCCAUGCCAGAUGUCUACAACAUACAAACCUUCCAACCAGCCUACUACAGUACCUAACACCUCACAACCUAUUCCAUUCUGAACCUAUUGAUUGGGAUUUUUGUAUACUUUUAUACUCAUUGCAUCCUAGCUUGCUAUUAUAGCAAACAUGCAGGUAUUUAAAGAAAUGUUUUGUUUUUCCUUCUUAGCUGUUGAAAUUUCUUGAAUGCCAACACAACACAACACACCAUGCGCACAUGACAGAGGUCUCCGUCACUGCGGAGGGAAGAUCGCAAUGCUGCUUGCAGGCUGUUGACAGAAAGUGAUCAGUAAGUUAUGACCCUAUGCAUAAUGCUACAAUUAUUUCUUUUGUAUACAGGGAGUUGGUCAGAGAUUGAACAUGUCUCAGCAUCAUAUAUUUGAAUGCUGAUAAUUAUGUAUACGAGCAUUGACCAAUCAAUUGAAACUAGAAAAGUAGAUAAGUGCUUAACAAAAUGGAUUGGUGAAGAUUAGAUUGCCUAUAUAAAGCAUGCAAUGUUGACUUCAUAACAUACUGUAUAAAAAUGUAGUCUGUUCCAUAUUAUGUUUGCGCCUAUGGUCAAAGCUGCUUCUUCAAUUUGCUUCUUCGUUCAAUCUAGGGAUGUAGCCAAGGGAGUGGCCACGGCUGUCAUGGUCUACCCCAAAGGCGAGAAAUUAAAUAAAACAAAAUAAAGAUAAAUAAAAACAGCUGUACCAUACCCCCAAAAAUAGUGGGCCAAAUCCGAGUUUUCCUUUUUGGAGGGGGUACAACGCUAGGCCGCGACCUGUGGCCCCUCCCUCAGUAAAAUCUUGGCUAUGGCUCAAUAAUUUGAGUCUAUGCUUUAUGUCUAUGACUAUGCUAUACAGGAGCUAUGCAAUCCUGUUUUCUUUCUAGGUUCAUGCUGUUCUGAGGUGAAACAUUUUCCUGGCAUGGUGGCACUUUGUCAGUGUGGGGUGAGGUAGGCAUCCACUGUGAUGUGGCUGACCCUGUCGGCUCCCACUCCCCCUCUGACCCGGCCAUGCGUCCCGCCAGGUUGUCGUGUUCCGCCAGCUGCUGCGCCGGCGUUGGCAGCGCACAGCCGCUACCAGCUGACACGCCGACCGGUGCGCGUGCGCCGGGCGCCGACGGCCGUCGUCUGGCAGCAACAGCGCUGCCAGUGACUCGCGCUGCUGCUGCAGAAACUGGACAAGGAUCGUAGAAUCCUGGCGUGUUUUUGUAACGUCCAUUAGAGUGAUUUAGACGCAGCGUGUAGAAAGGACUCGUUUAUUGACGUGUGACUUUCUGACAGCUCAGUCACCUGUUGACGGCGGCGCACAGCGUCACCUACCCGCCCUACAGCCGGCCCAGCAGGGUGAGUAGUGAGUACCAAUACCCGCCCUGCAGCCGGCCCCAGCAGGCGGACGGAGAGGCCCGCCCGGGCCCAGUGCCGCACGGAGAGGCGGCGGCGCUGGAGGCCAACACCCCGGCUCGCGGCCUGUAGCUGACGGUGCUGGAGCCGCGAGUCACCGUGGUGGCUGGCCAUGGAGACUUGGAAAAGGCCGGUGAGGUGCGUCUCCAGCUGCGCUGUCAGACGAUCCAGUGGAACGAGCAGCAGCCCAUGUACCCGUCCCGGCUGUGCCGGUGUGUCUCCCAGCUUGAGCGGCGCCGGCCGACCGCUGCGCUGCUCUACAACUGCCACGUCCACACACGAUGCACGGUGACGGCUGACCAGGCGGUGCUGGUCUCGGCCGCGACCGCUCUGGCUGUCCCUGGCCACUCAGCUGGCCAGCAGCUGAGUGGCCCGGCGCCGCCGCCACUGCCCCAGCCGCCGCCGCCGCCGCCGCCAGCGGAGGACCGGGCGGCGGCGUCCUACCUGCAGUGUCACCCAACACCCCCGCUGCGGCGGCCGUCUCCCCAGUGUUCUAAAAUUGGAUUUUGGUUGGGUGUGACGAUGAUGACCAAAAAAUCUAGGAUGAGAAAAAAACAAGUGAAAACCUAUAUCACUUUCGCAAUAAAGGCGUAACGCUACGCUGGCUGAUAAUAAAAGAACAUACCAUUCCUGACCACCAAAACUAACCGAAAAAGACGAUGCAAAUAGGUAAGGAUGAUCUACGGCAGAAUUAUAGCUUUAACAUCUGAUCGCCAAGUGUUUCUAAAUCCGUCCCAUUUUAUCCCAACAUUUGUGUUUGAUUGAGACUAAUGAAUUUAAGAAUCACCCUUGUCUCUUAUACAGCAAAGAAUGAAUACCUACUUCAACCAGUGAGAUUUCAUUUUCCUCACAAGUCAAAAUGCAUUGUCACAAUUGAAUGACAGUCCAGUGGCCAUCCUUCUCCUAGCCUUAAAUCAAUGCCUUCCUUUCCGUUUGAGAUGCAGACAGCAGAUAUUACCGUCAGCAUCUGCUAAGUUCCUACUCAUGCUUACUGGCACGGAUCCAGGACGGUCCUUCUGCCUGUAUAUUUCUCCUAAAGAAGAUCAUCCGCGGACCUCCAUCCUCGCGACGCCAGUCGCCAUCAUGCGAGCGAACUAGGUCUUUAAGAAGCAGAAGAUGCAAUGAUUCUGUUGAAAUCUGUUGUCAUAUCUUAACCCUAUUAGUGGCAGGCUCCUGGCUACCCCUAUUAGUGGCAGGGGGGGGCUGUUUACAACCCCCCCUUGAUAUCUCGAGAUCUAACGGGCCGAUUUUCAAAAUUCAAACGGCAUUCGACUUCGCUCAACGUGAUCUACAUUUCUAAAAAAAAAUUAAGAAAAUGUCAAAAGGGGGGUUGAGGGGGGGUAAAAACGGGCAAAUUGCAGAUACAUUUUAGACUGCUUAUCACGGCCAGGUUUCUGAACCAAUCUUAACGCAACUUUUGCCGAUCGAUAAAGAAUGAACCAGGAAUUCACAUGGAUCCUAAAAAUAUGCAUUUUCAAAAAUCAUAGGCGGAUACAGAUCAUUGAGAUUGGGGGUACACAAAAAGUAUAGCAAAUAAGGUUUUUGUUGGUACUGUUUCUAAAAAGGGUGGUAAUGGUCUUGUUAUGUUACAAUUUUCUUAUGAGAGAACGACUACAAUUGUAUUGGUCAUGCAUAGGCGGUGUCAGGGCACCUAUGUUGGGAGGUAAAACAUAACCCCCCUUUUUGGACGCCUGGAUCCGCCUAUUAUAGCAAAAACGUGUCAAAAGAGGAUGCACAAUAACUUUGUAUAUGUUAUCACAUGAUAAAACUGGUGCAUACAGUUAUAAUACAUCAGCAUCGUGAUCAUCGCCCAAAUGACUCGCUUCACGAAUAGGACCCCCCAAUUCCCAGUGCUCUGGAGCCGCCCUUGGUAAAGUUAUGAACUUGAAAUUUUCAGGGAAUGUGCCCAAUUUAGUUUUAGGAAAAGUCAGAAAAUUUCAGCAUCGUAGCUUCAGCGGUUUCGGAGAUAUUCCCGAAAAACCUGAGGGGUGGAUGAAAACAACCCCCCCCUGCCACUAAUAGGGUUAAGGAGGGUGGGGGAGGGGCGGGUGAGGGAGCUCUCCCUAUAUGCAGGCUUUGGUUCUAGUCACUGGUCAAGGUAGGUAUCUGGUCUGGUGUAGUGUAAUUUGCCAUGUGGAUAAGUUUUCUUUCUUUUUUAAGCAAAGGAAGUGGCAAGGAACCUGUCGUUGCCGUUGCAAAGGGUAUCAUUCGGUCGUCCUGUAUUAUUGAUUUAGUGCAGUUGACUCAGACUGUGUAAUGCGUGAGGCGUGGUCAUCACUGUGACACUGUCAGACAUAAAAUCUUAGGUAAUCAUGAUACCCUGAUGGGCAGUUUGUUGUCGUAACUGAUCGCUAUGAAACCAGAAACCGUAUAACUCAUGUGUUCUGUCCUCUGGGACGUUUUGCGCCUACAAUAUGGCAGCACUGCUUCCAAGAUUACUGUAUAUUUGAGAUAAUAUGCGGCAAUAUAAGUACGUAGUUUUCG